This 2867-nucleotide long non-coding RNA is filed under the name Mytilus galloprovincialis (Mediterranean mussel). The record is from RNAcentral. Lineage: Eukaryota; Metazoa; Mollusca; Bivalvia; Mytilida; Mytilidae.
UUUUGUACACACUAAUUGCAUCCAAGUUACCUUCUUGAAUGAAGAUACUAAAUUUUAUAACAAUCUUACUGCUACUUUAAAAAUGAGUCAUAUAUGUUGCUCUUGGAAUAUGCUACUAUAAAAUAAUGGUUUUAUACAUCAGAGGUCGCACCUCACGGAAGUAUAAUUUACAUAUCACAAUAUUAUUGUCAUGUCAACCUUAAACAAUAUAUUUGAUUGUAGCUUUUUUACAUAGUUUAAUUCCUUUCUUUUCCCAAUAACAUAUCUUGUCUCAUUUCAGUUCCAAAAUUCUCCAGUGAAAAUCACUAUUACACAAAUAUAACCAAGUCAAAUGUUUCAAUUGGUACCGAUAACACCCAACAGAAUAACCAAACAAAGGACGAGGUAUAUUUGUUUAUCAAAGUUUUGAUUUGGUAUGCACAAAUGAGUUUUUUCGUGUUUCUUAAGCAUAAAUGGUGGUAGAAUAAACUCAUCAUAGAUACCAUGAUUAACUUUGGUAUUUACGCCAGACACGCGUUUCGUCUACAAAAGACUAAUCAGUGACGCUCGAAUCCCAAAAGUUUAAAAAGCCAAAUGAAUUACGAAGUUGAAGAACAUUGAGGACCACAAUUCCUAAAAGUUAUGCUAAACACAGCUAAGGUAAUAUAUUUCUGAGGUAGAAGUUAAACUAAUACUUGUGUUCAUUAUUUACUGAAUACUGGGUACUAAUUUUCGUUGAUUGAGGAAAUCGUGUAAUUUUCGUGUAUAUAAUAUCGUGAUUUUGCAAAAUCUGCAUACAAACCCAUAGAUAUUUGAUAUUCGUUGGAUAUUUCAAUUCGCGGUUAAACUGUACCUACGAAUAUUGCUAUCCAACGAAAAAUAAUGAAAAUGAAAUAACAAAAAUAACAAAAAUACCAAACUCCGAGGAAAAUUCAAUAUGGAAAGUCCGUAAUCUAAUGGCAAAAUCAUAAGCUCAUAAACAUCAAACGAAUGGACAUCAACUGCCAUAUACCGGACUUCGUCCAGGCAUUUUCAUAUACAGAAAAUUGUUUUUCUACGGCCCAUUUAUGGGCAUCAUGUUUUUUGGUCUGUUUGUCCGUUCGUCCGUUCGUCCGUCUGUUCAUUUGUCCGUCUGUCCUGCUUCAGGUUAAAGUUUUGGGUCGAGGAAGUUUUUGAUGACGUUGAAGUCCAAUCAACUUGAAACUUAGUACACAUGUUCCCUAUGAAUGACCUUUCUCCUUUUAAUGCCAAAUAAGAGUUUUUACACCAUUUUCACGAUCCACUGAACAUAGAAAAAUAAAGUGCGGAUGGGGCAUCCGUGUACUAGGGACACAUUCUUGUUUAUAGCUAUCGUAAUAUCUCACUUGUAUGACAAUGAAAGCCACAUGUUAUUCCAUUAUAUUGACAUCAAUGUAGGAAACAAACAGAUAUAAUAGGUGAAAAUGUAAAAAAUAAGGGUACAACAGUCAACAUUGCAAUCUUUUCGUUUCUUAAUAACUAUAAAAACAAGACUUUUUUAAGUUUUAUGAAUUGUUUUCUUAAUUUUAAACUCAUUUCCAAAUAUGAUUUUAUUCAAAUAGUUGUAUCUCGCACCAAUAACAAUAAUGCUAAUAUAUUUGUCAUCGAUUGGUCGGGUGUUGGUGAUAUGUUGAUCUUGAUUUUUGACUUUGACUACCGUUUCAGUGUCUCGACGUAUGUCUGUUCGUUUUUGUAUUUUGAAAAACACUACAUGGCAGGAAAUCAGUACAGACAAACGCAAAAACACCCAGCACAAAGAAACGCAUAAAAGGUUAAUAUGAUAUAAGUAGUGCAUUACAUCAUGUUGACCGUAUAAUAACAACGAACACCUCCCGUGAAUUUAUGACAGCACACCAGGAAACCACAAAUGAUAUAUAAACAGUGCGUCACAUGAAUUACGUUUGUGCAGUUUAUAUCAUCACAGUUAAAUUUCAAAAAAUAACAAGAAUGUGUCCUAAGUACACGGAUGCCCCACUUGCACUAUCAUUUUCCAUGUUCAAUGGACCCUGAAAUUGGGUAAAAAAUGAAAUUUGGCAUUAAAAUCAUACCAUAUAGGGAACAUGUGUACUAAGUUUCAAGUUGUUUGGUCUUCAACUUCAUAAAAAACUACCUUGACCAAAAACUUUUACCUUAAACUCCCGUUUUAUUUUCUAUGUUCAGUGGACCGUGAAAUUGGGGGUCAAAAGUCUAAUAUGGCUUUAAAGUUAAAAGAGAUCAUACCAUAAGCAACAUGUGUACUAAGUUUCAAGUUGAUUGGACAUGUUCAUCAAAAACUACCUUGACCAAAAUGUUUAACCUGAAGUGGGGCGAACGGACGCACGGAUGGCCGAACGAACGAACGAACGGACGAACGGAGGCACAGACCAGAAAAUAUAAUGCCCCUCUACUAUCGUAGGUGGGGCAUAAUUAAUUGAUUUGACUAAUUCGUAGAAAAGUACAGGAAUUUUAGAUAGAAAAUGAGUUUGAAAUAAUGUGUUUUAUAUAUUUUCUAACCAUGACAAGAUGUCAAAAUAAAAUUGUGUUUGUAAUAUUGUUAUCAUUUGUACUUUCCAACAUAUAUCAAUUUUCUUUUAGUAGCUCAUAGACACUUGAAUGUCGUUGUCCUCCUUUGAAUAUAACAGUAGAUUCAACAGCGGUGACCACAAUGCAAUCAUGUUUUCUAUUGAUGCUGCAUUUCUAGGAGCACACAACAAAUAGUUGAAUUUAUUCUGUACUUAUUACGUAAUAUAUAACAUGUAGCCUUUAUAUACAUCUGGGAAUCAAGAAAUUUUCUGGGAAUGAUUUUUUUUUUAACAUAUCAAUUUGAACUCAAAAGUGCCUGUCAUAAAAUAUAGGUAGACCAACAUCACAAUUGUUCUGCAACAGACACG